RNAcentral lists this ribosomal RNA (91 nucleotides) under Vibrio sp. V09_P4A23P171. RNAcentral describes it as "partial 23S ribosomal RNA". Lineage: Bacteria; Pseudomonadati; Pseudomonadota; Gammaproteobacteria; Vibrionales; Vibrionaceae. RNAcentral also lists the same sequence under 1 other name. The record is from RNAcentral.
AUAGGUUGGGUGUGUAAGCGCUGCGAGGCGUUGAGCUAACCAAUACUAAUUGCCCGUGAGGCUUAACCAUACAACACCGAAGGGGUUUUGU